UUUUAGGGAGACCUACACCCCUCAGAAAUCGAAAAACAUACAGUUAAAUUGAUACUGAGUUGGUCUAACCUAGGUCGGUCGAGAUUGGUAGAUAACUUUCAAAGUAUUACUGGUUCAGUAUAUAUAAACUUUUCUAAAAAGCUAGUGUAAUUGAGAAAUCAGCAACAUGACAGUGGUGUCAGACUGCUGAGUUAGUUCUCAGCCAGAACCUUGAAAACUGCAUAGUAACGCGAAAUUAGCAGGCAGACACAGACAUUCUUUCGAGAAUGAAAAGUGAAUGCGGAUGUAACACCAAAUGUAAAAGU
Molecule: unclassified non-coding RNA, 305 nt
Filed under: Calothrix sp. HA4236-MV1
Lineage: Bacteria; Bacillati; Cyanobacteriota; Cyanophyceae; Nostocales; Calotrichaceae
Description: 16S-23S ribosomal RNA intergenic spacer
Source: RNAcentral